This is a small nuclear RNA of Ochotona curzoniae (black-lipped pika), 106 nucleotides long. The record is from RefSeq and is a predicted model, not a curated record. Lineage: Eukaryota; Metazoa; Chordata; Mammalia; Lagomorpha; Ochotonidae.
GUGCUCGCUUCGGCAGCACAUAUACUAAAAUCGGAACGAUACAGAGAAGAUUAGCAUGGCCCUGUGCAAGAUUAAAAAUUCUAAAGCAUAAAAAGAAGUCAUGUAG